RNAcentral lists this ribosomal RNA (24 nucleotides) under Microstomum lineare. RNAcentral's name for it is "partial 28S ribosomal RNA". The record is from RNAcentral. Lineage: Eukaryota; Metazoa; Platyhelminthes; Dolichomicrostomida; Microstomidae.
CCCGACCUCAGAUUAGUCUGGAUU